This 88-nucleotide microRNA precursor is filed under the name Felis catus (domestic cat). RNAcentral describes it as "mir-544 microRNA precursor family". It matches the Rfam family "mir-544 microRNA precursor family". Lineage: Eukaryota; Metazoa; Chordata; Mammalia; Carnivora; Felidae. The record is from Rfam by way of RNAcentral. RNAcentral also lists the same sequence under 2 other names.
CUCACCCAGGGAUCUUGUUAUAAUGCAGAUUCCAAUUCAGUGGGUCUCUGAGAUUCUGCAUUUCUAACAAACUCUCAGGUAAUGUUGA